GCGGGUAUAGUUUAAUGGUAAAAUUUUUCUUUGCCAAGGAAGAGAUCCGGGUUCGAUUCCCGCUACCCGC
RNAcentral lists this transfer RNA (70 nucleotides) under Radula japonica. RNAcentral's name for it is "tRNA-Gly". It matches the Rfam family "tRNA". From Rfam's summary of the family: Transfer RNA (tRNA) molecules are approximately 80 nucleotides in length. Their secondary structure includes four short double-helical elements and three loops (D, anti-codon, and T loops). Further hydrogen bonds mediate the characteristic L-shaped molecular structure. tRNAs have two regions of fundamental functional importance: the anti-codon, which is responsible for specific mRNA codon recognition, and the 3' end, to which the tRNAs corresponding amino acid is attached (by aminoacyl-tRNA synthetases). tRNAs cope with the degeneracy of the genetic code in two manners: having more than one tRNA (with a specific anti-codon) for a particular amino acid; and 'wobble' base-pairing, i.e. permitting non-standard base-pairing at the 3rd anti-codon position. Lineage: Eukaryota; Viridiplantae; Streptophyta; Jungermanniopsida; Radulales; Radulaceae. The record is from RNAcentral.